CAGAGAAUUAUCAUACAUGCUUACGUAUGCCUUCGGGAACUCUGAGACCNGUGCUGCAUAGGCUGUCGUCAGACUCGUGUUGUGAAAUGUUGGGUUAAGUNCCGCCACGANCCGUNAACCCUUUNUCNGUUUGUUGCCAGCGGUCCGGCCGGGUAACUCAAAGGAGUACUGCCAGUGAUAAACUGGAGGAAGGUGGGGAUGACGUCNAGUCAUCAUGGCCCUUACGAGUAGGGCUACACACGUGCUACAAUGGCGCAUACAAGAGAAGCGAACUCGCGAGAGCAAGCGGACCUCAUAAAGUGCGUCGUAUCCGGAUUGGAGUCUGCAACUCGACUCCAUGAAGUCGGAAUCGCUAGUAAUCGUAGAUCAGAAUGCUACGGUGAAUACGUUCCCGGGUCUUGUACAC
Molecule: ribosomal RNA, 406 nt
Filed under: Pantoea agglomerans
Lineage: Bacteria; Pseudomonadati; Pseudomonadota; Gammaproteobacteria; Enterobacterales; Erwiniaceae
Description: bacterial SSU rRNA
Rfam family: Bacterial small subunit ribosomal RNA
Source: RNAcentral